UGGAUGCCCUGGCAGUCAGAGGCGAUGAAGGACGUGCUAAUCUGCGAUAAGCGUCGGUAAGGUGAUAUGAACCGUUAUAACCGGCGAUUUCCGAAUGGGGAAACCCAGUGUGUUUCGACACACUAUCAUUAACUGAAUCCAUAGGUUAAUGAGGCGAACCGGGGGAACUGAAACAUCUAAGUACCCCGAGGAAAAGAAAUCAACCGAGAUUCCCCCAGUAGCGGCGAGCGAACGGGGAGGAGCCCAGAGCCUGAAUCAGUGUGUGUGUUAGUGGAAGCGUCUGGAAAGGCGCGCGAUACAGGGUGACAGCCCCGUACACAAAAAUGCACAUACUGUGAGCUCGAUGAGUAGGGCGGGACACGUGGUAUCCUGUCUGAAUAUGGGGGGACCAUCCUCCAAGGCUAAAUACUCCUGACUGACCGAUAGUGAACCAGUACCGUGAGGGAAAGGCGAAAAGAACCCCGGCGAGGGGAGUGAAAAAGAACCUGAAACCGUGUACGUACAAGCAGUGGGAGCCUCUUUUAUGGGGUGACUGCGUACCUUUUGUAUAAUGGGUCAGCGACUUAUAUUCUGUAGCAAGGUUAACCGAAUAGGGGAGCCGAAGGGAAACCGAGUCUUAACUGGGCGUUAAGUUGCAGGGUAUAGACCCGAAACCCGGUGAUCUAGCCAUGGGCAGGUUGAAGGUUGGGUAACACUAACUGGAGGACCGAACCGACUAAUGUUGAAAAAUUAGCGGAUGACUUGUGGCUGGGGGUGAAAGGCCAAUCAAACCGGGAGAUAGCUGGUUCUCCCCGAAAGCUAUUUAGGUAGCGCCUCGUGAAUUCAUCUCCGGGGGUAGAGCACUGUUUCGGCAAGGGGGUCAUCCCGACUUACCAACCCGAUGCAAACUGCGAAUACCGGAGAAUGUUAUCACGGGAGACACACGGCGGGUGCUAACGUCCGUCGUGAAGAGGGAAACAACCCAGACCGCCAGCUAAGGUCCCAAAGUCAUGGUUAAGUGGGAAACGAUGUGGGAAGGCCCAGACAGCCAGGAUGUUGGCUUAGAAGCAGCCAUCAUUUAAAGAAAGCGUAAUAGCUCACUGGUCGAGUCGGCCUGCGCGGAAGAUGUAACGGGGCUAAACCAUG
This 1125-nucleotide ribosomal RNA is filed under the name Escherichia coli. RNAcentral describes it as "partial 23S ribosomal RNA". It matches the Rfam family "Bacterial large subunit ribosomal RNA", at positions 25 to 1191 of the family's 2925-position model. Lineage: Bacteria; Pseudomonadati; Pseudomonadota; Gammaproteobacteria; Enterobacterales; Enterobacteriaceae. The record is from RNAcentral.